GUUACUUCGGUACAUCGGUGACAGGUGGUGCAUGGUUGUCGUCAGCUCGUGUCGUGAGAUGUUGGGUUAAGUCCCGCAACGAGCGCAACCCCUACGUUUAGUUGCUAACGCGUGAAGGCGAGCACUCUAGACGAACUGCCGUUGACAAAACGGAGGAAGGUGGGAUGACGUCAAAUCAUCAUGCCCCUUAUGUUCUGGGCUACACACGUGCUACAAUGGCCGGUACAGACGGACGCAAAGCCGCGAGGUGGAGCAAAUCCUAAAAAGCCGGUCUCAGUUCGGAUUGCAGGCUGCAAUUCGCCUGCAUGAAGUCGGAAUCGCUAGUAAUCGCAGGUCAGCAUACUGCGGUGAAUACGUUCCCGGGCCUU
RNAcentral lists this ribosomal RNA (368 nucleotides) under uncultured Pelotomaculum sp. Its description in RNAcentral is "bacterial SSU rRNA". It matches the Rfam family "Bacterial small subunit ribosomal RNA", at positions 1014 to 1382 of the family's 1533-position model. Lineage: Bacteria; Bacillati; Bacillota; Clostridia; Eubacteriales; Desulfotomaculaceae. The record is from RNAcentral.